GUAAUACAAGCCCUGCCUACUGCUGCAGCUAUGAAAAGAAUCAAAUGAAGUCUCCAACAGAAUCUUGUGAUGCGAUUGUAGCCACGCUCCAUGGCAACAGGACUCCGCUCAACUUUUCCGAUGCAGACCCGCGGCUAAUGCGCGGCUUCGCUGCGUAAUGAUGUAAUCCCCCCCUGAGGCGAGUGACUGGAGUCCUCAAGUGACCACUACUCCAUAAUUGGCUGCCUGCGCGAACAUCCCUCAGCCUAACAAGAGCCAGGAAGCUUCAACACACACACUUUGUGGCUUUGCAUUACAAUGC
Phyllopteryx taeniolatus (common seadragon) is the source of this 301-nucleotide long non-coding RNA. RefSeq lists it as uncharacterized. NCBI's taxonomy places the organism in Eukaryota, Metazoa, Chordata, Actinopteri, Syngnathiformes, Syngnathidae. The record is from RefSeq and is a predicted model, not a curated record. The transcript has 3 exons.